GGGCAUGUAGCUCAGCGGUAGAGCGCUCGCUUAGCAUUUACCAAAAGCUGCGAGAGGUCUUGGUUUCAAUUACCAACCUGUCCA
Molecule: transfer RNA, 84 nt
Filed under: Calocera cornea HHB12733
Lineage: Eukaryota; Fungi; Basidiomycota; Dacrymycetes; Dacrymycetales; Dacrymycetaceae
Rfam family: tRNA
About the family: Transfer RNA (tRNA) molecules are approximately 80 nucleotides in length. Their secondary structure includes four short double-helical elements and three loops (D, anti-codon, and T loops).
Source: Rfam by way of RNAcentral